Papaver somniferum (opium poppy) is the source of this 3177-nucleotide long non-coding RNA. RefSeq lists it as uncharacterized. The record is from RefSeq and is a predicted model, not a curated record. The transcript has 2 exons. NCBI's taxonomy places the organism in Eukaryota, Viridiplantae, Streptophyta, Magnoliopsida, Ranunculales, Papaveraceae.
UUAGAGCUCAACAAGAACUCUAAUCCCUUGUAAUGGAGUUUAUAUGUAACACUUCCGAUCAUAGUGAAACUCCGUAGAUGUAGACUUCAUUAAUGGCCGAACCACGUAAAAAACUUUGUGUUCAUGUUUACUUUGAUGCACUUCUUCUCUUACUUGUUAGUAGAUCUUCAUCUUAAGUGUUGGAUUCAAAGUGGGUGUGAUUAUUAGAUUUUUAGCAACUACAUUCUGACGCCGACUCAGGGGACCGAUAAUCACAAAUAUGUGUAGUAACUGAUGUUCCAGUGAAGCUAGUAACUAGUUGUUUAGUUUCAAAUUUUUGAGUAGUUCCAGCGGAAGUUAGUACUGAUCUACCGCCUAGAGAGACUGAAGUGCGAGGGGUAAAUAUGGAACUUUGUCCAAAGAAAGUUAUCUUCAGACAACAUGCAACAGAAACAUUCCGGGGAGAAAACAUCAGAAGUUCUGUGUGGGUGCAUCAGAGAUACAAAGAGAACCUCGACAAAAUUGGAAACAUAGAUACUUUGGCGAAGAACAAAUCCAAAACAGGACGAAUCUUCUUCUCAUUUAUCUCUUAUUUUGUUUGUUAACACUUCGAUCUAAAAGUUUUGAGUACAAAUUUUCAAAAGGUUUUAUGGAAAACUAGGGUUUGUUCUUGAGCAAAAAUUGGAUUUUCUUUCAAAAGCUUUACUCGAUUUCUGUUUUGAUGGGAGAUUUGCUAUCAAUAGAUCUAGUUUUACAAACCCAAUUAAGGGAUUUUGAAAACUUUGAAUAGCGAAAUUUGUAGUUGAUUUGGGUAUUUUUCUGCUUGUGACGUAUGGGAUUUUCCUGUCUUGGCUAUUCACUGAAUUGAUUUGCUGCUGCAGUGAAAUUUGAAUGGUGCACGAUGCUGACAGUAGAGGGAGAAUCUUACAGCUGACUUUCCUUGCUGCGAUAUGGACUCCAUCCCACCUCUAGUCUUCAUCAUCGAGAGUUACAGGAAGAUGGAAAUUGUGAAAACACCAGCAAUUUAAUCGGGUCUCAUCAACUGAAUUACGAAGGAGAUCGUCACGGGACAAACUGCCACAAUUGAACAAAGCUUAGAUUAGCUUGUUCAGAUCAUCGACAUCUCGUCAAUUUACCUCGGAUGAAUUCUGGAUUAUAAGCUGCAAUCAGCAUCCGGUCGGCUACUUCAGGGGAGUAUACAUCUCGGGCUCGGUCACAAGAGUCAAAUUCAAGACUCAAUCGAAUUUUGUUCUUUUAAGUAAUUAAAAUUCGUGGAAUCAUAAUCAAGUUGAUCGGGUCUCGGCAUUCAGCUUCGGAAGAGAUCAUCAUCGGGACCAAACACUACAGCUCAAUCAAACUUUGGUGGUUUUAACCAUGUUGAUUCAUAGCAUCAAUCUCGGGUCUGGCCAUUUCUGGGUUCAUCGGUACAUCUCCAACCAAUGACCACCUCGACCAAGUCUGUUCAUAGCAUCAAUGGGAAUUGCAGCAACUAAGCUUCAUGAAAUUCCACAUCGGGGCGAAUCAGUUAACUUGCUCGGAUCACAAUCAUCUCGUGCCAGGUUACAUCGGGAAGAUACCCAAGUAACAGGUCGGAGCUACCUUUUCACCUGCAACACCUAGCUCGGGUCAGUUCAUUUCCUAUCAGGAAAGAUGAACCAUAUCGGACAAGAUAGUCACUUCAGAUCAACUCGGGAAGAUCACAAAAGACUCGCUUCAGGGACUCGGCUCGGUAAAAUCGAGUCCUUCGUUCCAGAAGAGCACACUUUCAUCGGGACGUUCAUCUAUAACAGGGAAACAUUCUUAACUCAUCAAUCCUUGUUCUGCUAGUUAUUUCGGUAAUGCUAUUUAAAAUCCUCCUCAAAUUAGUCUGGUACAAGAAAGAUCGGCUUAAUCAAAGGCAAACCACCUAAGAAAGCAUGAAUACUUUUUGUUUCAGUGUUUCAGAAAAUAAAUCCGAGAUCUUUGACAUAUAGACAGGAAUUGCUUUUAUUACCUGUAGCUAUGAAUUACGGGUUUUCAAUCUUGACUUAAUAUGUAGUCAUCAUAAAAUGAAACCGAAUAAGAAAUACAAGGGAUAUUAUGUGAAAGGGUGAUGUGUCGCUAUAUAGUUUGUGAAGAGACCAGCCACUGUCAAUCCACGUUUAUUCGUUAUGAAUUUGAGCCUUUCAUUUUGAGUAAUCUCAUUAUCGCUCGAUCGGACCUGAAAUUGCAUUUGAAUUCUCAGUGACCCAUUUAGAUUGUGACCAGGAUUAAUUUUUCAAUGUAAUGACAUUUUACUUGAACAUGUCGCUUAUCUUAAUAAUCCUGUGUUGUUAGAGUUAUACCUUAACCAGAGCAUCUACAACAAUGACAUUUAAUGGGGUCAUUUAAUGAUGCAGGGCAUACUACAAUUCCAGAAGAUUCCGCUUAGAGGUGCAUAAAUUCAAUCCCGGGUAUCAAUUGAGAAGAAAAUGACAUUGGAAGUACACACGCGAGCUGCGGGCAAUAACGUAGACUCCAAAGGAUGGGAAGCUUUGCACAUGAAAGCGAAACGAUCCUCUAUGACCAAACCACCAGACUUUACCCACUGAAUUUGUGAAGUAUCUUCCUCUCAGCAUCGUGUAAGAUCAUCUCGGAUGGGGAUUGUCGCCAUUCACCUCAGAAUACAUCGGACUAACUCGAAGAGAAGAACUGAAUAGACGAUCAACUCUGACUGACAUAUCCUUCCUGUAUGGGAUCACCUUGAAUCGCCAUCUCGGAUGUGAUAAUUUCUCCCAACACAACCGAUGUGACAGCUCAACUUUGAAGUUGUGUUGGGAGAACCUUCUCGAAUCAUUCAACGAAAUGGGACAGCCACGCAACAGAGGGUGUAGAAUUCUAGCAUAAUUACGUGUCGCGGUAACAUCAACUAUAUCUCUGAAGUAGAAGUCAGGAUUGAAGCUGACAUCCUGUGUCAAGGGAUGUCGCUUACCAAAGCGCAGGCCAUGGCAUCAGCCAUUGGAAAUAAAAGCUAAGUUCCACCUUUCUCGAACACUUAGUCCAUUCAAUACAACGCUUAUAACGUUCAUAUUUGUUUGUUUAUAAAUUCAAAUCCUAGUGAAUAACCCAAAUCUGAUUUUGCAUGCAAUUGUUAAAAUAGAUCAUGUUAUUUUGAAAACAUUAAGUGCCUGACUUUGGGGAAAAUGGGUAAUGUCGUUAGUGGUACUAUUAUUAUUGGGA